CGUGUAGGCGGUUUUAUAAGUCUGAUGUGAAAGCCCCGGGCUCAACCUGGGAAGUGCAUUGGAUACUGUAAGACUUGAAUACGGGAGAGGGCAGUGGAAUUCCUAGUGUAGGAGUGAAAUCCGUAGAUAUUAGGAGGAACACCGGUGGCGAAGGCGGCUGCCUGGACCGAUAUUGACGCUGAGACGCGAAAGCGUGGGUAGCAAACA
RNAcentral lists this ribosomal RNA (207 nucleotides) under uncultured delta proteobacterium. RNAcentral describes it as "partial 16S ribosomal RNA". It matches the Rfam family "Bacterial small subunit ribosomal RNA", at positions 568 to 774 of the family's 1533-position model. The record is from RNAcentral. Lineage: Bacteria; Deltaproteobacteria.